RNAcentral lists this long non-coding RNA (614 nucleotides) under Bos taurus (domestic cattle). Its description in RNAcentral is "long non-coding RNA NONBTAT012005". Lineage: Eukaryota; Metazoa; Chordata; Mammalia; Artiodactyla; Bovidae. The record is from RNAcentral.
ACACACCUUGUAACUUGUCUGAGAAGCAUAAUCCUCUGGAACCUAAAGGACACUCUUCAUGCAAGAGCAAUGUGAAAUAAUUUUAGAAUGAGAUUCUAUUCUCCUUUGAAAGCAGAUCAUCUCGCAGCAUAUUAUAACAUUGUAAAAAAUCAUUUAUGUCUGAAUACCUUCAUACACUUAAGAUGAAAGUGUUACCACAGUCAUAGGAUCGUUCUUACAGUAAGGGGGUAAUGUUAGUUGUAUUUUCCUGCUCUCUCAACUCAAAUGAUGGAAUACUCAGUCUGCUUUCUAGUUGAGAUUCUUUUUAAACUGUUGAAUGAAGCUUGUCAAGUUUUAGAUUUUUGGGGGAUGGUGUCUCAUAUCUUCAAAGAUCACACUGGUUUUCCCAUAGUGUAUCAGGUGGCUGGAAGCUUAAGAUGACCAUUACAUCUGUCUUGGUGAUUGACUUUGGAAGAGUCUUGAAGAUGAUCUAACUUUCUCAGAUUGAACUUUCAAGCUGUGAUACUUUUCUUGAAGCUAUUUGUACAUUAAUUAAUACAGAAAAUUUCUUAGCAGGCUUAUUGUGUAGCUUGAGGUAGAUGCUCCCCCACAAUCUUCCCUGCUUCAGCCUUUCC